Molecule: ribosomal RNA, 500 nt
Filed under: uncultured bacterium
Lineage: Bacteria
Description: partial 16S ribosomal RNA
Rfam family: Bacterial small subunit ribosomal RNA
Source: RNAcentral
AUUGAACGCUGGCGGAAUGCUAUACACAUGCAAGUCGAACGGCAGCACGGACUUCGGUCUGGUGGCGAGUGGCGAACGGGUGAGUAAUGUAUCGGAACGUGCCCAGUCGUGGGGGAUAACGUAGUGAAAAUUACGCUAAUACCGCAUACGAGCUAUGGAUGAAAGCGGGGGAUCGCAAGACCUCGCGCGAUUGGAGCGGCCGAUAUCAGAUUAGGUAGUUGGUGGGGUAAAGGCCCACCAAGCCAACGAUCUGUAGCUGGUCUGAGAGGACGACCAGCCACACUGGAACUGAGACACGGUCCAGACUCCUACGGGAGGCAGCAGUGGGGAAUUUUGGACAAUGGGCGAAAGCCUGAUCCAGCCAUUCCGCGUGCAGGAUGAAGGCCCUCGGGUUGUAAACUGCUUUCGUACAGAACGAAAAGGUUUCUACUAAUACUAGGAGCUCAUGACGGUACUGUAAGAAUAAGCACCGGCUAACUACGUGCCAGCCGCCGCAGUAA